Long non-coding RNA from Parus major (Great Tit), 2590 nucleotides. RefSeq lists it as uncharacterized. The record is from RefSeq and is a predicted model, not a curated record. The transcript is spliced from 2 exons. NCBI's taxonomy places the organism in Eukaryota, Metazoa, Chordata, Aves, Passeriformes, Paridae.
GUGAACGCACACAGACAGCCCACGAUGAGUGCCCACACCGCACCCACGCUUCUCUGUGCUAAAGGAAAUGGGUGGUUGGCAUGAAGACAAAUGGGCACACAUACCCUCAGUGAUGCAACAAUUCCAGGAAAUAAAGCAGGCCUGGAUGGUGGAGAUUUUUCAGAAAUAACUGCAAAUUCAUUCAUGGAGUGGUGCCCCUAUCUCAAACCUUUGGAAAAUGUAUCACCAAGCAGCAUAUUUGCUGACUGAUGAACCAUUCACAGUUACAAAAUACACUGGACUAAAAGAUAAUUUAAAAAAAUAUUAUAAUAAUUUUAAGAUAUAAUUUCAGCCAAAUAUACCCCACUUGGACUACAAAUGGAUACAAUCCCCCCAGCUGGGAGUUCUCUUGUUUGUAUUCAACUGGUUAAAAUAUUGUUAGAAAAGAUUAUAUAAAAGUAUCAGUAGCAAAAAAACCUCAGUGAAACAGGAGACAGUCCUUUCCAGUGUUCAAAUUCCUUAAAGAUAAUAAACCUGAAAGUAAAAUGUAGGGAAGUACAAGGGCAUGGAAGAGACUGAGCCAACAGACAUUCCUAAGCAAGUGGGUCUGGUUUCAUGGGCACGGAUGCACACAGAACAGAACAAGCAGGCACCCUGAGGAGUGAUGAAGGUACUUCCAGAAUUUUUAAUUCUCCAUUGUCACGUUUUUGUAACUCUAUAUAGAGGGUAAAAUACUGCAUGAAUUGGAUACCCAGGAAUGUGCUAAAGAUCUGAAACAGUGCUAUGGAAGAGAGAAAAUGCACACACUGUACCCUCCUCAGCGUUCCCUGGGCUUUGUGGUGUUAAACUGAACAGGAGAUACUGCAGAGACUUGUGCAUUUACCCUCACACUCCCACUGGCCCCUACUGAUCACCAGCAACCACUUGGUGGAAGAGCUACUACAGAUUCUUGCCUUUACAUGACUGGCAGUGUACUGUGUUUUUUCUAAGGCACUUGGCAAGCAGGGGAACACAGAAUGUGUUUUUUUGCGGUGCAGAAGGAGUUAAGGAGCCAUGUGCCUGAGUUCCCUGCAGAUAGGAAUAAUGUGAGCCCCCUGACAAGCCAGGCAGGCAGCUCUGGCUCAGCAGAUAGCAGGAACAUGAACUGAAGGGGCAAAGACAUCUCACAAUUCCAACAGCCAUUCAUAUCCUAGGGAGAUUUCAGAGAGCUCUCUUGUCAUGUUUUAAACCAUGGCUGCAUUUCUCUUUGUCAGAGUGCAUUUGCCAGUUGCACUGCUGAGUUUUCAUAUGCAAGUCAGCCUACAGCAGUUUCCAGUAAUGGCAUCUUAUGCAAUUUCUGACCUACUUUAACACAUUGGGGCAUUUGGAGACAUGACAUCCACUGCAGCAGCUUUCUGCUUGACAGUGCGACACUGCAGCAGGAAGUGCAAGUCUUUACACAAACAUAUGGAUCCACUGAAACACAGACAAAGAGACUUCAAUUUUCAAGGUUAUUUGUCAAGCCAUUAAGGGCAUCCAGAUCGGUCAUCAUACAUGUUAUUUUUAGCUAGAAACUGUGCAUUGUUUCAAAAAGAUCAAAUGGUCAAGUCACUAAGCUGUUACAUAGGCACUGACCUGUGUGGCCCUUCUAGGCUGCAGUUUCCUGAAGAACACCUCAAAUGAGAGCUUGUGUGUGUGACUGAUGAUAAACCAUGACUUGGUUAGCAGUACAGGGAUCUUCUCUCUUGUCCCACCAGCCAGCUGUAUUCAGAAGAAAGGUGUCUUCUACACAUCCUCACAAACUCCAGCAAUAAAUGGAGUACCUCUGUUAACUAAAAGCUUUAUCAAAGAGGAUUUUUGAUACACUUUUAUUAAUUCCACUACCUAAUGUGGACCUAACUACUACCAGGGACCUAACACUACUAAAAGAAAGAGAGCAUAUAGAAUCAUUCCCACCAUUAAUUAGAACUAAGCCUUAAAUGGCAGAAGUAAUAAGAGGAAAUUUGGAUUACUAUCUCUUCCUUCUCCCCCAUGAGAAAUAAGACUCCAGACACAUUUCACUGUAUGGAAAUUUCAAAUAUGUGAUCUGAUUAAGGCGUCUGCCCACAGCUGUUUGAGUGAGCCAGCAGACACUUGUCACUGCAAACUAUGCUGAAGUUCAAGAUCUACAGAGCAGCGUAGAUCUUUAGAAUAAUGCUGGAAAGGUUGUUCUGUGCUUUUUUUCUUUCCUCCUCAAGUUUUGUUAUUAAGGGAAGUUUUAAGCAUGGCUGAAGCAAAGACCAUACACACCAUCAUGACUUUUCCCAUGCAGACAAAGCAAUUAAGGCCAAAUGACAUCAAGUAUUACUCACCAGCAGUUGCUUUACCUGGCUUCAUUAAUAGACAGUUAUCACUCUUGUCCUGCCACUGUGCAAUUUGUACCUCACUACUACAGUGCCUCAAUUAUCUUUCUUUCACUAUUUUCCUGCAAUAAUAAGGCUAUUAGUACUACUGAAAACUACAAGCAUUUUAGUAUACUCUUGCUUUGGGGCCAAUUACUUUCUGUCAAAUGAAAGAGGUUUUAUGUAAUGUUGUUAUUCACUGCAUUCUUGUUCUGUGUCCUUCAAGAUAACUAAUAAAAUUAAGAAACAUU